CUGAAAUCAUUUAAUAGCCUGACGCACAAGGAAAGGUUUUGUCAAAUCCUCCCAAGCAUUAAGCUUAAAUAGAAAAAAAACAAAGUUGUCAUUAUGCACAAUCUCAAGAACGGCAAAGGAACCACAACAAAGUGUUGCCUCUGCACCGUCCAAUUCGUUCCAAAUCAUAACGAAGGCCGUCCAAGCUGGACAUCGUAAACGACCCCCUUAUGAGUCCAUCAAGCAAUAUGAUCCAAUCUACCACACAUCUCUGGCCAUAGCACAUCCUCCUCAUGCACACCCAAGGUCACCUCCUGAAACCGUUUCACUGG
Pelobates cultripes (western spadefoot toad) is the source of this 311-nucleotide non-coding RNA. Lineage: Eukaryota; Metazoa; Chordata; Amphibia; Anura; Pelobatidae. The record is from the annotation of a GenBank genome assembly.